This 461-nucleotide ribosomal RNA is filed under the name uncultured Myxococcales bacterium. RNAcentral's name for it is "partial 16S ribosomal RNA". It matches the Rfam family "Bacterial small subunit ribosomal RNA", at positions 338 to 794 of the family's 1533-position model. The record is from RNAcentral. Lineage: Bacteria; Pseudomonadati; Myxococcota; Myxococcia; Myxococcales.
CCUACGGGAGGCAGCAGUGAGGAAUAUUGCGCAAUGGGGGAAACCCUUACGCAGCAACGCCGCGUGGGCGAUGAAGGCCUUCGGGUUGUAAAGCCCUGUCGGCGGGGACGAUGCGGCCGGACCAACCAUCUGGUCGUGACGGUACCCGCCAAGGAAGCACCGGCUAACUCCGUGCCAGCAGCCGCGGUAAUACGGAGGGGGCGAGCGUUGUCCGGAAUUACUGGGCGUAAAGCGCGUGCAGGCGGCCUGUUAUGUCGGGUGUGAAAUCCCUCGGCUCAACCGAGGAACUGCGCCCGAAACUGGCAGGCUUGAGUGCGGGAGGGGAUGGUGGAAUUCCCGGUGUAGAGGUGAAAUUCGUAGAUAUCGGGAAGAAUACCGGUGGCGAGGGCGGCUCUCUGGACCGAUACUGACGCUGAGACGCGAAAGCGUGGGGAGCAAACAGGAUUAGAUACCCCUGUAGU